Molecule: transfer RNA, 62 nt
Filed under: Cacopsylla coccinea
Lineage: Eukaryota; Metazoa; Arthropoda; Insecta; Hemiptera; Psyllidae
Description: tRNA-Ser
Source: RNAcentral
AGUUUAGUAAUUUAUAUAAAAUAUCUACCUUGAAAGUAGAAAAAAGAAUAUCCUUUAAGCUU